UGCCAGCCGCCGCGGUAAUACGAAGGGGGCUAGCGUUGUUCGGAAUCACUGGGCGUAAAGCGCGCGUAGGCGGCGCAUCGAGUUAGGCGUGAAAGGCCUGGGCUUAACCUGGGAACUGCGCUUAAUACUGGUGAGCUAGAGUCCGGAAGGGGGUGGCGGAAUUCCCAGUGUAGAGGUGAAAUUCGUAGAUAUUGGGAAGAACACCGGUGGCGAAGGCGGCCACCUGGCCAAAUACUGACGCUGAGGUGCGAAAGCGUGGGGAGCAAACAGGAUUAGAUA
This 279-nucleotide ribosomal RNA is filed under the name uncultured bacterium. RNAcentral's name for it is "partial 16S ribosomal RNA". It matches the Rfam family "Bacterial small subunit ribosomal RNA", at positions 506 to 784 of the family's 1533-position model. The record is from RNAcentral.